UACGGAGGGGGCUAGCGUUGUUCGGAAUUACUGGGCGUAAAGCGCACGUAGGCGGAUCGGAAAGUCAGAGGUGAAAUCCCAGGGCUCAACCUUGGAACUGCCUUUGAAACUCCUGGUCUUGAGUUCGAGAGAGGUGAGUGGAAUUCCGAGUGUAGAGGUGAAAUUCGUAGAUAUUCGGAGGAACACCAGUGGCGAAGGCGGCUCACUGGCUCGAUACUGACGCUGAGGUGCGAAAGCGUGGGGAGCAAACAGG
This 253-nucleotide ribosomal RNA is filed under the name uncultured bacterium. Its description in RNAcentral is "partial 16S ribosomal RNA". It matches the Rfam family "Bacterial small subunit ribosomal RNA", at positions 524 to 776 of the family's 1533-position model. The record is from RNAcentral.